Molecule: long non-coding RNA, 417 nt
Filed under: Vulpes vulpes (red fox)
Lineage: Eukaryota; Metazoa; Chordata; Mammalia; Carnivora; Canidae
Description: lncRNA (ENSVVUG00000006860.1)
Source: RNAcentral
CUUAGAAGCCUGCCAGCCCCAGCCUCCUGAAGACUGUGUCCUUCCCAGCUGACUGGGAGUCUUUUCAAGGACAUGGGACCUGACCUAUUGCCCCAGGAGACUGAAGUUCCUCACCAGCAUCCCCUCACCAGUUUAUUUCGCUCUGAACCCCUAGCUCCUAACACAGUCAUGAGUCAUCUGUGGACUUCUCCAAUUCUCUCCUGCUGGGGUGUUCCUCAAGUUCUCCAGCCAGCAGCAGCAAACAACACACAGCUGGCAUCGGCGUGCCCUGGAGCCAUGUACUCUCACCAACUGUGUUCUGGCUAGGUAGGGAAACGGUACUGGGAAUUACCUGAUGAACACCUGGGUUUAUAUGGAGGGAUUUACAAUACAUCUUUGAGGAAUAAAGGUCACUUUUUUUUUUGUUCUUUUUUUGAA